RNAcentral lists this unclassified non-coding RNA (433 nucleotides) under soil metagenome. RNAcentral's name for it is "partial contains 5.8S ribosomal RNA, internal transcribed spacer 2, and large subunit ribosomal RNA". The stretch from base 1 to 120 matches the Rfam family "5.8S ribosomal RNA", at positions 35 to 154 of the family's 154-position model. The record is from RNAcentral.
GAUGAAGAACGUAGCGAAAUGCGAUACGUAAUGUGAAUUGCAGAAUUCAGUGAAUCAUCGAAUCUUUGAACGCAUAUUGCGCUCUCUGGUAUUCCGGAGAGCAUGCUUGUUUGAGUAUCAGUAAACACCUCAACUCCCCUUUCUUUUUUUGAAAUGGGAGCUGGACUUGAGUGAUCCCAACGCUUUUCUCACCGAAAAGUGGCGGGUUACUUGAAAUGCAGGUGCAGCUGGACUUUUCUCUGAGCUAAAAGCAUAUCUAUUUAGUCUGCCUAAAAAACAGAUUAUUACCUUUGCUGCAGCUAACAUAAAGGAGAUUAGUUCUUGUGCUGACUGAUGCAGGAUUCACAAAGACAGGCUUCGGCCGACUUUGUAAACUCGAUCUCAAAUCAAGUAAGACUACCCGCUGAACUUAAGCAUAUCAAUAAGCGGAGGA